RNAcentral lists this unclassified non-coding RNA (209 nucleotides) under uncultured fungus. Its description in RNAcentral is "sequence contains ITS1, 5.8S rRNA gene". The stretch from base 161 to 209 matches the Rfam family "5.8S ribosomal RNA", at positions 1 to 49 of the family's 154-position model. The record is from RNAcentral. Lineage: Eukaryota; Fungi.
UCUCCGUAGGUGAACCUGCGGAGGGAUCAUUACCGAGUUGUGGAAACACAAUCUCCCUUUCUUGUUGUUUGACCGGUUGCCUUGCCUUCGGGCGUCGGGGCCCCCGGUGGACCACCCAACCCUGCAUCGUUGCGUCUGAGUCGAAAUAUAAAUCAAUCAAAACUUUCAACAACGGAUCUCUUGGUUCUGGCAUCGAUGAAGAACGCAGC